CACACACACAUAAACACAAACAAAUGCACACAGACACACAUAAACACAAACAAAUACAGACAUAAACACAAACAAAUACACAUUUAUUUUAAAUUUCUGCAUUUUUUUUUAUUUCUACAUCUGUGUGUUUCUGGGUGAUGGUUCUCUAGAUGAUGGUUCUAGGUGAGGUUCUCUAGGUGAUGGUUCUCUAGGUGAUGGUUCUCUGGGUGAUGGUUCUCUGGGUGAUGGUUCUCUGGGUGAUGGUUCUUGGUGAUGGUUCUGGGUGAGGUUCUCUGGGUGAUGGUUCUCUAGGUGAUAGUUCUUUAGAUGAUGGUUCUCUAGAUGAUGGUUCUAGGUGAGGUUCUCUGGGUGAUGGUUCCCUAGAUGAUGGUUCUGGGUGAGGUUCUCUGGGUGAUGGUUCCCUAGAUGAUGGUUCUAGCUGAUGGUUCUCUGGGUGAUGGUUCGAGGUGAUGAUUCUCUAGAUGAUGGUUCUAGGUAAGGUUCUCUAGGUGAUGGUUCUGGGUGAGGUUCUCUGGGUGAUGGUUCUCUAGGUGAUAGUUCUUUAGAUGAUGGUUCUCUAGAUGAUGGUUCUAGGUGAGGUUCUCUGGGUGAUGGUUCCCUAGAUGAUGGUUCUGGGUGAGGUUCUCUGGGUGAUGGUUCCCUAGAUGAUGGUUCUAGCUGAUGGUUCUCUGGGUGAUGGUUCCAGGUGAUGAUUCUCUAGAUGAUGGUUCUAGGUAAGGUUCUCCAGGUGAUGGUUCUAGGUGAUGGUUCUCAAGGUGAUGGAUCUCUAGAUGAUGGUUCUCUAGGUGAUGGUUCUGCAGAUGAUGGCUUUCCAGGUGAUGGUUCUAGGUGAUGGUUCUAGGUGAUUGUUCUCUAGGUGAUGGUUCUAGCUGAUGGU
Molecule: long non-coding RNA, 877 nt
Organism: Acanthochromis polyacanthus (spiny chromis)
Lineage: Eukaryota; Metazoa; Chordata; Actinopteri; Pomacentridae
Exons: 3
Source: RefSeq, a predicted model, not a curated record